Molecule: long non-coding RNA, 563 nt
Filed under: Dasypus novemcinctus (nine-banded armadillo)
Lineage: Eukaryota; Metazoa; Chordata; Mammalia; Cingulata; Dasypodidae
Description: lncRNA (ENSDNOG00000052885.1)
Source: RNAcentral
CGUUUCCCUCGAUUCCGGCCCCGGGCGCCCCCUGGUGGCUGUUCCUCGCCGGCGCAGUUUUCUUUUUCCGGAACUGCAGGACGAGCCCUGCAGUAAGAGCAAAGCCUGGGGAUCCCAGCUCGGGCCUCGGGUGCCUUGGGCUCUGCGCACGUUUAUCCCUGGGAGACGAAUUCCAGGGCAGGUCCCUGGUUAGACCACAGCUGCUUUCAGCUUCCUCAUGCGCGAACCAGCAGGGACCUCAGCAGGCCCUUCCAGGCCUUCCUCCCAGGAAUCCGGGGACCCUCGAGGUGUCUCCAGCACUGAAGGGAUCUGCUAACCUCCCAGCAUUCCUGAAAAUGCUCCUCCUAUCCCGAGCCCCCCACCAAACACCUUCGGGUAUGACCCAGAACUGGAUUCUAUACAAAAAUCAUGUGCAGAUGUAUUUUUUUCCCCUUCUCACUUCACUUUUUAAGAAAAUACAAACCUUUUCUUCAAUGCCCUUUAAAAAUAAAUUAGUUAUAUCAGGUACGUAGGGUUCAUUUUAUUAUUCUUUCUACUUCUGUGUCUGCAGAACAUUUCCCAUA